AUUGAACGCUGGCGGCAUGCUUUACACAUGCAAGUCGAACGGUAACAGGGUGCUUGCACCGCCGACGAGUGGCGAACGGGUGAGUAAUGCGUCGGAACGCACCGAGUAAUGGGGGAUAACGCAGCGAAAGCUGUGCUAAUACCGCAUACGCUCUGAGGAGGAAAGCGGGGGACCUUCGGGCCUCGCGUUAUUCGAGCGGCCGACGUCUGAUUAGCUAGUAGGUGAGGUAAGAGCUCACCUAGGCGACGAUCAGUAGCGGGUCUGAGAGGAUGAUCCGCCACACUGGGACUGAGACACGGCCCAGACUCCUACGGGAGGCAGCAGUGGGGAAUUUUGGACAAUGGGCGCAAGCCUGAUCCAGCCAUGCCGCGUGUCUGAAGAAGGCCUUCGGGUUGUAAAGGACUUUUGUCAGGGAGGAAAUCCUUAGCGCUAAUACAGUUGAGGGAUGACAGUACCUGAAGAAUAAGCACCGGCUAACUACGUGCCAGCAGCCGCCGCCG
This 500-nucleotide ribosomal RNA is filed under the name uncultured bacterium. RNAcentral's name for it is "partial 16S ribosomal RNA". It matches the Rfam family "Bacterial small subunit ribosomal RNA", at positions 30 to 523 of the family's 1533-position model. The record is from RNAcentral.